Molecule: ribosomal RNA, 882 nt
Filed under: uncultured bacterium
Lineage: Bacteria
Description: bacterial SSU rRNA
Rfam family: Bacterial small subunit ribosomal RNA
Source: RNAcentral
GGAUGAACGCUGGCGGCGUGCUUGAUACAUGCAAGUCGAACGGAGAGUGUAGCAAUAUACUUUUAGUGGCGAACGGGUGAGUAACGCGCUGGUGACCUGCCCCGAAGCGAGGGAUAACAGUUCGAAAGAACUGCUAAUACCUCAUGUGAUCACCGGUUUUAGAAUCUGGUGAUUAAAGGUGAAAAUCACUUCGGGAGGGGCCUGCGUCCCAUCAGCUAGUUGGUAAGGUAAUGGCUUACCAAGGCGAUGACGGGUAGGGGACCUGAGAGGGUGGCCCCCCACAAUGGAACUGAAACACGGUCCAUACACCUACGGGUGGCAGCAGUAGGGAAUAUUGCAAAUGGGCGAAAGCCUGAUGUAGCAACGCCGCGUGUGCGAUGAAGGUCUUCGGAUUGUAAAGCACUUUUUGGAGGGAUGAGGAAGGACAGUACCUCCAGAAUAAGCCUCGGCUAACUACGUGCCAGCAGCCGCGGUAACACGUAGGAGGCAAGCGUUAUUCGGAUUUACUGGGCGUAAAGCGCGUGCAGGCGGUUUGGAAAGUUGGAUGUGAAAGCUCCUGGCUCAACUGGGAGAGGUCGUUCAAAACUUCCAGACUUGAGAGUGGUAGAGGGAGGUGGAAUUCCGGGUGUAGUGGUGAAAUGCGUAGAUAUCCGGAGGAACACCAGAAGCGAAGGCGGCGCCCUGGGCUGCACCUGACACUGAACCGCGAAGGCGUGGGUAGCGAACGGGAUUAGAAACCCCGGUAGUCCACGCGGUAAACGAUGUCAGCUGGGUGUUGGGGGGGUAAAAGCUCUCAGUGCCGAAGCAACGCGAUAAGUUGACCGCCUGGGGAGUACGGCCGCAAGGCUAAAACUCAAAGGAUUGACGGGAGCCCGCACAAGC